This 447-nucleotide ribosomal RNA is filed under the name uncultured bacterium. RNAcentral's name for it is "partial 16S ribosomal RNA". It matches the Rfam family "Bacterial small subunit ribosomal RNA", at positions 29 to 523 of the family's 1533-position model. The record is from RNAcentral.
AACGAACGCUGGCGGCAGGCCUAAUACAUGCAAGUCGAACGCACCGCAAGGUGAGUGGCAGACGGGUGAGUAACGCGUGGGAAUCUUCCUUGCAGUACGGAAUAACUCCGGGAAACCGGUGCUAAUACCGUAUACGUCCUUCGGGAGAAAGAUUUAUCGCUGCAAGAUGAGCCCGCGUCGGAUUAGCUAGUUGGUGGGGUAAAGGCCUACCAAGGCUACGAUCCGUAGCUGGUCUGAGAGGAUGAUCAGCCACACUGGGACUGAGACACGGCCCAGACUCCUACGGGAGGCAGCAGUAGGGAAUAUUGGACAAUGGGCGCAAGCCUGAUCCAGCCAUGCCGCGUGAGUGAAGAAGGCCUUAGGGUUGUAAAGCUCUUUUGGCGGGGAAGAUAAUGACGGUACCCGCAGAAUAUGCUCCGGCUAACUUCGUGCCAGCCGCCGCGGUAA